AUUGAACGCUGGCGGCAGGCUUAACACAUGCAAGUCGAGCGGAGUGAUGGUGCUUGCACUAUCACUUAGCGGCGGACGGGUGAGUAAUGCUUAGGAAUCUGCCUAUUAGUGGGGGACAACAUCUCGAAAGGGAUGCUAAUACCGCAUACGUCCUACGGGAGAAAGCAGGGGAUCACUUGUGACCUUGCGCUAAUAGAUGAGCCUAAGUCGGAUUAGCUAGUUGGUGGGGUAAAGGCCUACCAAGGCGACGAUCUGUAGCGGGUCUGAGAGGAUGAUCCGCCACACUGGGAAGAAGACACGGCCCAGACUCCUACGGGAGGCAGCAGUGGGGAAUAUUGGACAAUGGGGGGAACCCUGAUCCAGCCGUGCCGCGUGUGAAGAAGGCCUUAUGGUUGUAAAGCACUUUAAGCGAGGAGGAGGCUCUUUUGGUUAAUACCCAAGAUGAGUGGACGUUACUCGCAGAAUAAGCACCGGCUAACUCUGUGCCAGCCGCCGCAGUAA
This 501-nucleotide ribosomal RNA is filed under the name uncultured bacterium. Its description in RNAcentral is "partial 16S ribosomal RNA". It matches the Rfam family "Bacterial small subunit ribosomal RNA", at positions 30 to 523 of the family's 1533-position model. The record is from RNAcentral.